Poecilia latipinna (sailfin molly) is the source of this 599-nucleotide long non-coding RNA. RefSeq lists it as uncharacterized. Lineage: Eukaryota; Metazoa; Chordata; Actinopteri; Cyprinodontiformes; Poeciliidae. The record is from RefSeq and is a predicted model, not a curated record. The transcript has 2 exons.
CUGCAAAAACCCAGCUGUUGUCUUCUCUCUGACUGCAAACUCAUUCACUUCAUGCAAUAACACACUAUCAACCCAAUGGGCUUCAACCAAUUAAACCAUAGCACGAUGAGACCGAUCUAUUGGUUGGGUUUGGACUACGGGCAGCGAUCAAAGCCAUGCACGUGUAAAACAACCCCCUCCACCCAUCAUGUGCUGAGCCCCUUACCUGUCUGCUCUUUCUCCAGCAGAUUAAACAACACAAACACAAACUAAAGUCCCAAUCAACCAGGAGGACGAUCCCGUCAAACUGCUAGGUGACCGUGUGGCUGCCAGUCAUGACAUGGCCAACGGGCGCUUGCUGCUGUGGAAGAGGCGUUCAGGGUGUCCUGGCCGACGGAAUGAUGACAAAGUUCAUCCAAGAACUGGAGACAGGAAACUUGCGACCGGUGCCAGCGAGUCGUCUAUGGAAACAUAAAACUCAGAGAGAGACAGACACAUGGAGAGAGUGAUGGGUUAAUGCAGUCUGACAGAGGACCGCUGCUGAUCACCAGCACUGAUGUACUAGCUCUACUACCACAAUGAACCAUGAAUAAAGAAAGAAGAAAACGUUUUAAACCAAA